UACGAAGGGGGCUAGCGUUGUUCGGAAUUACUGGGCGUAAAGCGUGCGCAGGCGGUUAUUCAAGUCAGAGGUGAAAGCCCCGGGCUCAACCCGGGAAUGGCCUUUGAGACUGGAUGGCUAGAGUGUGAGAGAGGUGAGUGGAAUUCCCAGUGUAGAGGUGAAAUUCGUAGAUAUUGGGAAGAACACCCGUGGCGAAGGCGGCUCACUGGCUCGCAACUGACGCUCAUGCACGACAGCGUGGGGAGCAAACAGG
This 253-nucleotide ribosomal RNA is filed under the name uncultured bacterium. Its description in RNAcentral is "partial 16S ribosomal RNA". It matches the Rfam family "Bacterial small subunit ribosomal RNA", at positions 524 to 776 of the family's 1533-position model. The record is from RNAcentral.